CAGUUCAGAUUGCAGGCUGCAACUCGCCUGCAUGAAGUCGGAAUUGCUAGUAAUCGUAGGUCAGCAUACUACGGUGAAUACGUUCCCGGGCCUUGUACACACCGCCCGUCACACCAUGAGAGUCGGGAACACCCGAAGUCCGUAGUCUAACCGCAAGGGGGGCGCGGCCGAAGGUGGGUCCGGUAAUUGGGGUGAAGUCGUAACAAGGUACC
Molecule: ribosomal RNA, 212 nt
Filed under: uncultured bacterium
Lineage: Bacteria
Description: partial 16S ribosomal RNA
Rfam family: Bacterial small subunit ribosomal RNA
Source: RNAcentral